UCUGUAAACAGCAAUGGGCCUUGGUAAUACAAAUGAAUCAAAUCCAGCAGGCCUAGCAAGUCACAAAUUCUGAAAUGAAUCAAGACGUAGAAGAGGCUGCAGGUCACAUUAAGACACUCAGACCAGAGUCUGCACUACACAGCUGUGUGACCAUGAAGAAUGACCAGGACGUGGAUGAUCCUGGAAACAUGAGCAGCACAUCAACACAGACCAAUGCAGGACGACACACACACAGACCUCCAUCUCCAGUGCCCAGCUGUGUGUCCAUGA
Molecule: long non-coding RNA, 270 nt
Organism: Clupea harengus (Atlantic herring)
Lineage: Eukaryota; Metazoa; Chordata; Actinopteri; Clupeiformes; Clupeidae
Exons: 3
Source: RefSeq, a predicted model, not a curated record